This 216-nucleotide unclassified non-coding RNA is filed under the name uncultured fungus. RNAcentral describes it as "sequence contains ITS1, 5.8S rRNA gene". The stretch from base 168 to 216 matches the Rfam family "5.8S ribosomal RNA", at positions 1 to 49 of the family's 154-position model. Lineage: Eukaryota; Fungi. The record is from RNAcentral.
UCUCCGUUGGUGAACCAGCGGAGGGAUCAUUACAGAGUUAUAAAACUCCCAACCCAAUGUGAACUUACCUAUGUUGCCUCGGCGGAUGUACCCUGUAUAUCCGCCGGCGGACAAACCAAAUUCUGUUAUUUUAAAUGAUUUCUGAGCGUCAUACUUUAAUAAGUCAAAACUUUCAACAACGGAUCUCUUGGUUCUGGCAUCGAUGAAGAACGCAGC